RNAcentral lists this unclassified non-coding RNA (317 nucleotides) under Hevea brasiliensis (rubber tree). The record is from RNAcentral. Lineage: Eukaryota; Viridiplantae; Streptophyta; Magnoliopsida; Malpighiales; Euphorbiaceae.
AAAAAAAGGGAAAGAAAGAAACAAGUUGCAAAGUUUUUUACACAGAUUGUGGGACCAGCAAAAGCUUAUGCAAUUGCAGUUCAUGGUAGUAAUACUACCUAGCUUGCAUGUCCUCUUCAGUUUUCCACACUACAUCCUCUAGACUAGUCGAAAGAUUCUUGUAGAACUUGUGGAAUUCCAAAGUAUCUCCUUUUGCCUUUCGGACUUCAACCAUAUGAAGAGAAGGGGCAACUUGAAAUACCUCAGUGGCAACAUUAAGGUUCCCUUUUCUUCCAGCUUUGACAUUUUCAAGUCUCAUCUUGUAGUUCUUUUUGUGA